AAAUUGAAGAGUUUGAUCAUGGCUCAGAUUGAACGCUGGCGGCAGGCCUAACACAUGCAAGUCGAGCGGAAACGAGUUAUCAGAACCUUCGGGGGACGAUAACGGCGUCGAGCGGCGGACGGGUGAGUAAUGCCUAGGAAAUUGCCCUGAUGUGGGGGAUAACCAUUGGAAACGAUGGCUAAUACCGCAUGAUGCCUACGGGCCAAAGAGGGGGACCUUCGGGCCUCUCGCGUCAGGAUAUGCCUAGGUGGGAUUAGCUAGUUGGUGAGGUAAAGGCUCACCAAGGCGACGAUCCCUAGCUGGUCUGAGAGGAUGAUCAGCCACACUGGAACUGAGACACGGUCCAGACUCCUACGGGAGGCAGCAGUGGGGAAUAUUGCACAAUGGGCGCAAGCCUGAUGCAGCCAUGCCGCGUGUGUGAAGAAGGCCUUCGGGUUGUAAAGCACUUUCAGUCGUGAGGAAGGCGGUGUAGUUAAUAGCUGCAUC
Molecule: ribosomal RNA, 486 nt
Filed under: Vibrio parahaemolyticus
Lineage: Bacteria; Pseudomonadati; Pseudomonadota; Gammaproteobacteria; Vibrionales; Vibrionaceae
Description: bacterial SSU rRNA
Rfam family: Bacterial small subunit ribosomal RNA
Source: RNAcentral